This 254-nucleotide ribosomal RNA is filed under the name uncultured bacterium. RNAcentral describes it as "partial 16S ribosomal RNA". It matches the Rfam family "Bacterial small subunit ribosomal RNA", at positions 524 to 776 of the family's 1533-position model. The record is from RNAcentral.
UACGUAGGGUGCAAGCGUUGUCCGGAAUUAUUGGGCGUAAAGAGCUCGUAGGCGGUGUGUCGCGUCGGCCGUGAAAACCUGCAGCUUAACUGUGGGCUUGCGGUCGAUACGGGCAUCACUGGAGUUCGGCAGGGGAGACUGGAAUUCCUGGUGUAGCGGUGAAAUGCGCAGAUAUCAGGAGGAACACCGGUGGCGAAGGCGGGUCUCUGGGCCGAUACUGACGCUGAGGAGCGAAAGCGUGGGGAGCGAACGGG